UAAAACGGUGUCGUUUAAAAGGAUUAAAUUGGAAUUUAAAAUAAAUAAAAGUGUAAAUUAAAAAAAUAAAGAAAACUUAAUUACAAAAACAUUAAAAGGCGGAGGGGCUAAAUAAAAAUAAAUAAAUAAAAUUCGCAGUGGUAUCACCUUCUCCCUUUUUUAAAAUCGUAAAUAAGUAAAAAAUAAUCGAAAGAAAAAAAUAGUAAACCAC
Molecule: long non-coding RNA, 211 nt
Filed under: Gossypium raimondii (Peruvian cotton)
Lineage: Eukaryota; Viridiplantae; Streptophyta; Magnoliopsida; Malvales; Malvaceae
Description: long non-coding RNA (GRAI_LNC004591)
Source: RNAcentral